Molecule: long non-coding RNA, 260 nt
Filed under: Elaeis guineensis (African oil palm)
Lineage: Eukaryota; Viridiplantae; Streptophyta; Magnoliopsida; Arecales; Arecaceae
Description: long non-coding RNA (EGUI_LNC033807)
Source: RNAcentral
GCUGGCUAUCCCACGUAUAAAUUUGUAAAGACUAUCCCAAGUACACACUUUUGGUUGGCUAUCCUAUGCAUAAAAUUAUGGAGACUGUCUCAGGCAUAAGCUCUUGGCUGGCUAUCCAUAUGAUGAAAUUUGCCCAAACCAUAUUUUUUCUAUCUGAUUAUUACAUGUUGAUUUUAUCAAAUUAAUCUCAAUUUACAAUGCAAUCAAGAUAAGCAUUUUCUAACCAUAUAAUUGCAUCAUCAAUUACUGAUAUAUAUAUA